This 255-nucleotide ribosomal RNA is filed under the name uncultured bacterium. RNAcentral's name for it is "partial 16S ribosomal RNA". It matches the Rfam family "Bacterial small subunit ribosomal RNA", at positions 524 to 776 of the family's 1533-position model. The record is from RNAcentral.
UACGGAGGGUGCAAGCGUUAUCCGGAAUCACUGGGUUUAAAGGGUGCGUAGGCGGUUCGAUAAGUCAGUUGUGAAAUUCCCCGGCUCAACCGGCGGGACUGCGAUUGAUACUGUCGGACUUGAAUCAGGUUGAGGUAGGCGGAAUGUGACAUGUAGCGGUGAAAUGCUUAGAUAUGUCAUAGAACACCGAUUGCGAAGGCAGCUUGCUAGACCUUCGAUUGACGCUGAGGCACGAAAGCGUGGGGAGCAAACAGG